GAUGAACGCUGGCGGCGUGCCUAAUACAUGCAAGUCGAGCGAACAGACGAGGAGCUUGCUCCUCUGACGUUAGCGGCGGACGGGUGAGUAACACGUGGAUAACCUACCUAUAAGACUGGGAUAACUUCGGGAAACCGGAGCUAAUACCGGAUAAUAUAUUGAACCGCAUGGUUCAAUAGUGAAAGACGGUUUUGCUGUCACUUAUAGAUGGAUCCGCGCCGCAUUAGCUAGUUGGUAAGGUAACGGCUUACCAAGGCAACGAUGCGUAGCCGACCUGAGAGGGUGAUCGGCCACACUGGAACUGAGACACGGUCCAGACUCCUACGGGAGGCAGCAGUAGGGAAUCUUCCGCAAUGGGCGAAAGCCUGACGGAGCAACGCCGCGUGAGUGAUGAGGGUCUUCGGAUCGUAAAACUCUGUUAUUAGGGAAGAACAAAUGUGUAAGUAACUAUGCACGUCUUGACGGUACCGAAUCAGAAAGCCACGGCUAACUACGU
Molecule: ribosomal RNA, 496 nt
Filed under: uncultured bacterium
Lineage: Bacteria
Description: partial 16S ribosomal RNA
Rfam family: Bacterial small subunit ribosomal RNA
Source: RNAcentral